Molecule: transfer RNA, 84 nt
Filed under: Thermoprotei archaeon
Lineage: Archaea; Thermoproteati; Thermoproteota; Thermoprotei
Description: tRNA-His
Rfam family: tRNA
About the family: Transfer RNA (tRNA) molecules are approximately 80 nucleotides in length.
Source: RNAcentral
GCCGCCGUAGCUCAGCGGUUAGAUGUUAACUAAAGCGCCGGCCUGUGGAGCCGGAGGUCGCGGGUUCGAAUCCCGCCGGCGGCC